Long non-coding RNA from Thamnophis elegans (Western terrestrial garter snake), 4148 nucleotides. RefSeq lists it as uncharacterized. The transcript has 2 exons. The record is from RefSeq and is a predicted model, not a curated record. NCBI's taxonomy places the organism in Eukaryota, Metazoa, Chordata, Lepidosauria, Squamata, Natricidae.
UUGAAGUUCAUACUAUUACAGAACAACCGGUGAUACAAGGACAAGAUGGAAAUUGCUGACUUAAAUUGUUAAAAAUAAGCCACAAGCAAGAUCUCUCACACCCCAAAAUUAUUCUGUGCAUUUAAUUUUAGCAGGGCUUGCUCCUGAUCAAUCUUUUUGUACUGGAUAAUCCAGUCUUACUAGAUUUUUUUUUUUCAUUUGUGGAAGAAUCUGAAUUUAGAUUUCCAACAGCAACAUUCAACAGUUAAUUCUUCAACCUGCAGUCCCCAACAUCAUUGUCCCAAUGCUCUAAAUACUAUCCAGUUCUCCGGAAUCAUGUAACGGGAGUAUUGGGGUCAAAGGCUAAAGUACAACAAUGAGAAACUGCUGUUUUGCUUUCUUCCUCUGGUGCCAGAGAAUACACUGUUUAGACCACGAAUCCUUUUGAAGGAAUAAAGUCGCAGUGGAAGGGCUAGAAAACAAGAUCUAUUCUAAAAGGAAAUUGCUAAGUACCUGCUAGGCUAAAAACCAAUAAGAUAUACCACACAUCUAUCAAGAAUAUUAGAUAUCUGAUUUCCUCUGCCCCUGGAUGCUACAGCACUUGAACUGUUUGAAUCACGUUAGCAUGUAUGUUAAGGUUGGUGACUGUGACAGAACACCUGAUUAUUCUUCUGGGGAAUCUUUACAAUGAGCAAGAAGCCUCCAUAAAAAUUUAAUCUGGACAAAAACAGAACACUUUAGAAUAUGAAAGGGAGCGAGACAAAGAUGCUUUUUGGCCUUAUAAUCUGCUAAAUCAACUCAGUGAGUAUACAGCAUGAGCGCUAGUAGAGAUGAGAGCUAGUAGGGGUGAGUGUUUCAGCUGGUUAGAUGUCUCUAUGAGUGACUGUGCAAGCAGAGACAGCCAGCAGUGGAAUUGCCAGGGAGGAGAUGGUUGAGGUUGACAAAUUUCUCCAGAGGAAAGAGAAAUUAGGGGAUCACCCACACAAGCUCUGGAAGAACUGCGUCUCUCAAGGAGGCUGCAGGACAUUAGUUUCUUAUGGUCAAUCGUGAGUCAAGUGGUUUGGGAGUUAAGGGAUUUACAAUGUGUCCUAAAUUGCGGGGCAGCCUUUAUAGUCUUUUGACCUUGCAAAUGCCUCACCUUCUUAAUCACUAUACAAUUUAAUUGCUUUACAACAUAAGAGAGAUAUUCCAAAUAGCAUUGAAGAUCAAAGACCCCGUGAGUGCCUUCUUUUUGAAAUUUAAGAAGAGAAAAAAUAAAACCCUGCUAUCUUAGAGGAUUUUAAUUUAAAAAGCAAAACGCUUAACAAGAUUAUGAUAUAAGAAAGUUUUACAUGGACAAGGGGGACAAUGUUUUUUUUAGAAAAAUAAAAUAAUAAAAACCAACAAAUUGGAUCUUUAUGGAAAUAUUGAUGGUUUAUUUUUAAGGAUAGUAAUAAUGGAUGGAUUUUACAAAACAAGAAGAUUAUGAACUUCUUGUUAUGAAGAGUUAUGAAGAGUAAUGUGAACUGGACUGUAUGACUGAAUAUGGAGAGACAAUUAGGACUAAAUUGUUAAAUAUAGGAAGAACAAAACAGAAAAAAGAAGCCUGCCUUUUACUUUUUCUGUAAUAAUUAACAUACUUUUACUUUCUUACCAUGGCAACCACAAGGAAAACUGUCAAAUUGGGAGAAGGACAUGGGGAUCAUUGGAACAACUUACAGAUAAGGCCAUUUUGUCGGAUUUAUUGCAGAAAUUGUUUGAACAAUUUGGUAAAAAGGUAAAAGAAGAAAGAUUUUCUGGAAAAAAGAUCAGAAAAAAGUUAAGAAAACUGAAAAAUCUAUAGGACUUUGGCUACAGAUUUCAAACAAAUUAUUGACAAAGUGGAAGUUUGGGGAAGUAGGAUAGAAGUUAUAAAGAGAAUUGGAGAAGGAUUCAGACAGUUUGGCAUUAUUAGAACAGAGAAAAAAUUGCUUAAGAUUUAGAACAAUUCUAGAAGAACAUGCAGAGCAUAUCAGAGAAAAGAUUGCCAAAUCUCUGUUGAUUUCCUGAAUUGGCAUUGGGACGUUAUACUAAAGUCAAGAAAUAUUAUUUUGCAGAAUGGAAAGAUUCCUGAUAGUUGGAAAGAGAUUAUAACAUUAUCUAAUGAAGGACAAGAAAUUAUCAAGCAAUGUUUUUAUUGGAUAAUGAUUUCAAACUCUUUUGGCUGAAAGACGAAAAAUAAUUUUACAAGAUUUUAUUAAUGAAGAUUAAUGCAGGUUUUUAAUUAAAAGGCAAUUACAAGGUAAUGUUAGAAAUGUUAAUAUUCUGCAAUAGUAGGAGCAACAUAAUGAGAAAUAAUCUGCAUUGAUAGAUGCAGAGAAGGCGUUUGACAAUUUGAAUUGGAUUUAUUUUUUUGUUUAGAAUUCUGGAACAUAUGAACCUUGGAAAUAAUGUUAUUAGGUGGAUAUGGUCAAUUUAUGCUUCUCAAAAAGCAGAAAUAAUUGUUAAUAGAAAACUAAUAAAACAAUGUUAGAUUAAAAAAGGGAUAAGACCAGGAUGUCCGCUGUCUGCAUUUUUGUUCAUUUUGUUCGUGAGGUAUUAAAUAGUCAUAAGACAGAAAAUUAUGGGAGUUAAGAUUUAAAAAGAAUGUGUUCAUUGAAGACAUUUGCAGAUGAUUUUUGAUAAGAUCCACUCAAUGGACUAGAAAUGGAAAAAUUAAGGGGGGUUGGUACAUUAGCAGGUUUCAAGAUUAAUAAUCAGAAGACAGAUGUUGACAAAAAUAUGAAAUUAGAAGAUAAAAUAGAACUGAUGGAGAAAACUGAUUUUAAGAUUUGAGAAAAAAGUAAAAUACUUGGUUAUUACUAUGCUAAAUAUGAAUUGUAUGUUACUUCAAAAUAAUAGUAUUAAGACAUUGUGUGAAAAAGAUAUAUUAAGAUAGAAGAAAGAAGAAAUUACAAUUGUUACUGUUGUAACGAAUUUCUGUGAUAAAAAUGUAUGUUUUGCCUAGAAUUUAUUUCAGGCCAUACUAGUUUUGGCAACUGAUGCAUUAUUUAAACAGUGGCAAAUGUGGGGAAAAAACACAAGUUAAAAUGCAAAGUGUUACAAGAUGCAAAGGAAAGGAGGCUUGGUUUUCCUGAAUUUGAAAUUGUACUCGUUGUUGAUUUGUCUGAAUGAAAGAAUGAAUAUUGCUGAGAAAUACGAUACUUUUACAGUUAAAAGGUCACAGCCUAAAGUUUGGAUGAAACGAACAUUUAUGCAAUGAUAAAGUUAAAAUUUAUGUGGACAGUAAAAAUCAUAUUAUUAGAGAUGUCAUCUUGACAAUAUGGAAUAGAUAUAAACCAAAGUUGUGUCUGAAAAUACCUUUAUGGAUCUCAAUUCAAGAAACAUAUAGUAGAAAAGUAAGGGCUAAUAAAGAUAAACGGUUGAAUUACUGGAACCUAUUUGAAGACAAUCAAAGGGGGAAUUUAAAAUCAAAUCAACAGAACAAUUAUCUGAAAGACUUAAAAUUAAUACAAAGACAUUGUAUGGAGCAAAGUAAGAAUUGGAAAUACAAUUGUGUACUUAUGAUAAACUAAUUACUAAAAUGUACAAUCUGUUGUUGAAAUUUGAAACAGGAAGAACAGGUUGAUCAAUGUAUGAUAAAAGGGAUUAAGAAUUUUGGUUAUAGUAUACAAAUGGAUCAAUAGGAAAAUAAGUGGUUAAAGGGUUUGAAAUUUAUACCAUAUUAUAAUCUCAAAGAGAAAUUUUAUAAAAUGAUAUACUGUUGCUACACGAUAUAAGAGAAAUUUUCUAGUAUGUGUAAAGGUGCUUCAAAUACAUGUUUGAAAUGUGAACAACAUGAAGGGACAUUUUAUCAUUCAUGUUGAGAUACAAUUUUUUUAAAAAAAAUGGAUUCAAAUAUAUACCUUGAUAUAGAAGAUUUUAAAGAUAAAGAUUCAAUUAAAACCAGAACUUUUCCUUUUAGGACUAAUGGAUAAACAGAUAGAAAAAAGCCAUGGAAGAUUAUUUCAAUCUAUGAUUAUGAAAGCAAGAUUACUAUAUACAUAAAGAUGGAAAGAUUCAACACUACCCAUUCUAGAUAAAUGCUUGGUGGAAUUGUCAGAUUUUACUGACAUGGAUGAAUUGACAUCUUUGAUUAUAUAAAAGUUAUUAUCUAUAUUUAUUGUUGAUUGGAAGCUCCUUACUGAAAAUAAAUGGAUUUGUGAUCUGUG